Pseudophryne corroboree (corroboree frog) is the source of this 73-nucleotide small nucleolar RNA. The record is from RefSeq and is a predicted model, not a curated record. NCBI's taxonomy places the organism in Eukaryota, Metazoa, Chordata, Amphibia, Anura, Myobatrachidae.
AAAUGAUGAAGCAGAACCAACAAUAGCUGGAAUUACCGGCAGAACUUUCCUGUUGAUAACAGGUCUUCUGACU